AUACGGAGGGUGCAAGCGUUGUUCGGAAUUACUGGGCGUAAAGCGCGCGUAGGCGGUUUGUUAUGUCAGAUGUGAAAGUCCACGGCUCAACCGUGGAAGUGCAUUUGAAACUGGCAAACUUGAGUACUGGAGGGGGUGGUGGAAUUCCCGGUGUAGAGGUGAAAUUCGUAGAUAUCGGGAGGAAUACCGGUGGCGAAGGCGACCACCUGGCCAGAUACUGACGCUGAGGUGCGAAAGCGUGGGGAGCAAACAGGAUUAGAAACCCUAGUAGUCC
This 274-nucleotide ribosomal RNA is filed under the name uncultured bacterium. RNAcentral describes it as "partial 16S ribosomal RNA". It matches the Rfam family "Bacterial small subunit ribosomal RNA", at positions 523 to 796 of the family's 1533-position model. The record is from RNAcentral.